GAUGAACGCUGGCGGCGUGCCUAAUACAUGCAAGUCGAGCGAACAGACGAGGAGCUUGCUCCUCUGACGUUAGCGGCGGACGGGUGAGUAACACGUGGAUAACCUACCUAUAAGACUGGGAUAACUUCGGGAAACCGGAGCUAAUACCGGAUAAUAUAUUGAACCGCAUGGUUCAAUAGUGGAAGACGGUUUUGCUGUCACUUAUAGAUGGAUCCGCGCCGCAUUAGCUAGUUGGUAAGGUAACGGCUUACCAAGGCAACGAUGCGUAGCCGACCUGAGAGGGUGAUCGGCCACACUGGAACUGAGACACGGUCCAGACUCCUACGGGAGGCAGCAGCAGGGAAUCUUCCGCAAUGGGCGAAAGCCUGACGGAGCAACGCCGCGUGAGUGAUGAAGGUCUUCGGAUCGUAAAACUCUGUUAUUAGGGAAGAACAAAUGUGUAAGUAACUAUGCACGUCUUGACGGUACCUAAUCAGAAAGCCACGGCUAACUACGUG
Molecule: ribosomal RNA, 497 nt
Filed under: uncultured bacterium
Lineage: Bacteria
Description: partial 16S ribosomal RNA
Rfam family: Bacterial small subunit ribosomal RNA
Source: RNAcentral